RNAcentral lists this ribosomal RNA (367 nucleotides) under uncultured organism. Its description in RNAcentral is "bacterial SSU rRNA". It matches the Rfam family "Bacterial small subunit ribosomal RNA", at positions 527 to 896 of the family's 1533-position model. The record is from RNAcentral.
GUAGGUGGCAAGCGUUGUCCGGAUUUAUUGGGUUUAAAGGGUGCGUAGGCGGUCCUAUAAGUCAGUUGUGAAAUACGGCAGCUUAACUGUCGAGGUGCAAUUGAUACUGCAGGACUUGAGUACAGACGAGGUAGGCGGAAUUGACGGUGUAGCGGUGAAAUGCUUAGAUAUCGUCAAGAACACCGAUAGCGAAGGCAGCUUACUAGACUGUAACUGACGCUGAUGCACGAAAGUGUGGGGAUCAAACAGGAUUAGAUACCCUGGUAGUCCACACUGUAAACGAUGAUUACUCGAUGUUGGCGAUACACAGCCAGCGUCUUAGCAAAAGCGAUAAGUAAUCCACCUGGGGAGUACGCCGGCAACGGUG